GCAACUUUUGGUUCGCCACAUUUUGGGAGCUACAUCUCCCCUGAUGUCUUGCCAGAAUUAUGGCUGUCACAGCAUUAUGGGAAACUUAGUUCACAUCAUCUGGAGUGCCGAAGGUUACUUACCCCUGGUACGGAUCAUGUCAUUGCAGCCUCACUGCUUAAUUCGCUGCUAUUUAGGAGGUUAAUCACUUUUGUUAAACCAAACGCCACAAUAGGGUAAUAUUGCUUUUUACAAACUAGAGUAUUUAUUGGUUAUUGUACUCGCAGUCCCAGAAGAUAA
Molecule: non-coding RNA, 279 nt
Organism: Pelobates cultripes (western spadefoot toad)
Lineage: Eukaryota; Metazoa; Chordata; Amphibia; Anura; Pelobatidae
Source: the annotation of a GenBank genome assembly